AUAAUCAAUUCAUACCUUUUGGGGUCUUUUUCUUUGGAGGAGCAAGCUUAACAGGUUUCGGCUUAAAAAGUUCUGAAAAGUUCAACAAAACACCACGUUCAAAGGUCGGAAAAAAAGUUUUGACAAUGCUCUCCCUAAUUUGAGCUUCGUUUUGUAAUUCUUCUGUAGUAGAAGAAACAGUUUUCGAAGGUUCGGAAGGUGGAACUAAUCCCGAUGGAAUUGAAAAGCCUACUCCGCUGAGGACCUGACCAGCAGCCUCUUCACCCAUUUCUUUAGCUAAAAGCUUUCCAAAAUCUUCAUCAUCCUUAUCCCCGGUGUAAUUUACAGCUUGUUCUUCCUCUGGUAGAUUAUCAUCACUUACAUCUUCCAUAUCAUCCAUUUCAUUUAUGUUAUUACCAAAUUCCUUAUGAAUUGAACCCAUAAAGUCAAAAUCUUCAUAAUUUGGUCCAUCCUGAGGGUUGGAAUUUUCAAAACUAGAAUCUAAAAUUUUUGGGGACUCAUUCAUCCCUGGAUUGUUUGUAUCUCCUAAAAGAGAAUUUAUUACAGACAUGUCUGUACCAUUUUGCUUAAAUAAAUCUGUCAGGUCCUACAUUCGUUAGUUUAAGAUUAUAGAUUUCAAAAUACCUACAU
Molecule: non-coding RNA, 630 nt
Organism: Schizosaccharomyces pombe (fission yeast)
Lineage: Eukaryota; Fungi; Ascomycota; Schizosaccharomycetes; Schizosaccharomycetales; Schizosaccharomycetaceae
Source: the annotation of a GenBank genome assembly